This 448-nucleotide ribosomal RNA is filed under the name uncultured bacterium. Its description in RNAcentral is "bacterial SSU rRNA". It matches the Rfam family "Bacterial small subunit ribosomal RNA", at positions 355 to 796 of the family's 1533-position model. The record is from RNAcentral.
UCGAGAAUCUUUCGCAAUGGGCGCAAGCCUGACGGAGCGACGCCGCGUGGACGAUGAAGGCCUUCGGGUUGUAAAGUCCUGUCACGGGGCAAGAACAAGUUCGGGUUAACACCCCGGAUCCUGACGUAACCCCGAGAGGAAGCUCUGGCUAAAUUCGUGCCAGCAGCCGCGGUAAUACGAAUGGAGCAAGCGUUAUUCGGAAUCACUGGGCAUUAAGGGCGCGUAGGCGGUCUUAUAAGUCGCGGGUGAAAGCCCACUGCUCAACGGUGGAAGUGCCUGCGAUACUGCAAGACUUGAGUGCGGGAGAGGAGAGCGGAAUUCCAGGUGGAGCGGUGAAAUGCGUAGAUAUCUGGAAGAACGCCGGUGGCGAAAGCGGCUCUCUGGUCCGUAACUGACGCUGAGGCGCGAAAGCUAGGGGAGCAAACAGGAUUAGAUACCCCCGUAGUCC